GUCGUAAGGCAGCACAGGGACAGACAGCACCACCCCGGAGUCAGACCGUUGGGAUCCAGUUCUGUCCCCAAACUGACCACUCCGUGCCUUUGCCUGCUGGGCAGCCCUUGCACUUGUUUUGGCGGGAGCCCCGGUUUCUGCCCCUUCGACACUCCGGGGCUGUGCGGCUCAGCCACGGGACUGUCCUGGCCCAGGCCUCCAGGCGGGCACGUGGCUGGUCCGUCAGAACAUGCACACCUCGUGGGUCCAGGCAGGGGACAAGACCCAAGCCGGCCAAGCCAGCCAGCCCCGGGCUUUUCCGGGAGAAGCCCGCUGUUCUUUCUGCUGCCCAAGGGCAAAGGGAAGGAGGGAAGCAGACCUGGGAGACGGAGAGGAGAGACGUUUCCAGAUGGCACCACUGGGGAAUCUGGAUCCAACUGUGCCUGAGGCCCGGCUCUAAUCCGGAGUGCCUGUCAUCCUGGAAUGACUCUGCGCUGGAUGCUGUCUACCCACAUCACCCAGACAAGGAAUCUGCGGCCCAGAGUGGAGUGACCUGCCCCAAGUCCCACGGCGAGUCAGUGGCCAAGCGGGUGAGCGCACGACACACUGUGAUCAGUGUGACAGGACGGAGGUGUGCGCAAGGUGUGGGGCCAUGCGAACACGGAACAUUCCAGCCGUGAAAGGAGAUCCCACCGCGCCGGAGGUGUGGAUGAGCCUUGAGGACAUCAGGAGGAGUGAGCGAGCCACACCCAGAAAGACGGAGGCAGUGUGACUCCGCUGGUGACAGCGUCCCUUGAGUCGUCACACUCACAGAGGCAGAGAGCAGGACGGAGGUGGGGGCGGGGCGGGGAGCAAGGGGUGCGUGUCUCGUGGGUGCCGAGUUUCCGUCUGGGAACAGGAAGAAGCUCGGAGAGCACGGUGGUGACGCUGCAGGACAGUAUGAAUGUACUUACUGCCACUGUUCACUAAAAAGAGGUAAAAACGGUCAAUUAUAUGUGAUGUCUGACCACAAUAAAAAUAAUUAAAUUAAAAAAAAAAACAAACAGGCA
RNAcentral lists this long non-coding RNA (1028 nucleotides) under Microcebus murinus (gray mouse lemur). RNAcentral describes it as "lncRNA (ENSMICG00000048743.1)". The record is from RNAcentral. Lineage: Eukaryota; Metazoa; Chordata; Mammalia; Primates; Cheirogaleidae.